Molecule: long non-coding RNA, 1666 nt
Organism: Triticum aestivum (bread wheat)
Lineage: Eukaryota; Viridiplantae; Streptophyta; Magnoliopsida; Poales; Poaceae
Exons: 6
Source: RefSeq, a predicted model, not a curated record
UCUAGAGACUGGUCGGAAUAGAGUGUGGCCCUGUUGCUUUUUGGUAUCAUUACUAGCAAGUGUCAUGUCACUUUUACCCAUGCUCUUUACAAACAGAAGUACCCCUCAGAUUUUAGUUUAUACAUAGAGUCAACUGUUGUUGUCGAAGCUGCUAGUAAACUGACUUGAAUAUGCAUUUUCCUUGUUGAUCGCCUGAUUUGUUUCAAGUGUGGUUGUAGUUUGUAGAUAUGACACUCCAUUAGUUCCACCGAAAUGGUACAUGUAUCCUGGAUGGAGCUGAUGCAUACAUAUCCUUUUAAUUCCUUUUCCUUUUUGUACAUUUAAAUAAAAAAAUACCAAUCUUGACUCUGGCCAAGAGCCGGUCGUUUGUUAUUGUUAUGGUAUAAAUGGUAUAUUAGAAAGGAGUGGCCAGAGCACAUAUUUGUUAUUGUUAUGGAAGUACAAGUGUUGUCACUGUAAAUACAAAAGGAGUGGGCAGAGUGCAUCUCACCCAUUCCAUGUACAUGAAGGCGGUUCCCUUGUGGUGCAACAACAAUGUUCCUUGCUACCAGCAAAUCAUAUCCAAAUGGAUAGACCCGGAGUGGAGGGCCCAACAUCGAAUGGCUUCCGAGCGGCGUGCCUUGAUGGGUGGUCCGGUACACCUUCAAGGCAACCUCAGCCUCCACGCUUACGUGCAGAAGAAGAAUAGGGAGAGAGGUGAGGGCCAAGAGAAGCUCAAUACCUUCACGGGAUUAUGUCUCUCCCGCAAGUCAAAGAAACCGGAAGGGGGUGGGUCAACCCAGGCGCUGGCUUGAGGAUUGAUGCAUACAGUGGGAAGUUCAAGGAGCACAACGGGCCUGACUCUGAUCCGGCCUCACAGGACAUUGGCGCUACAAUUUCCCUCCAGUCGGGAGAUGUCAAGAAGGGUGGUCGGUUAUAUGUUGGCGAUGGUGCCAUCCAUAAGAAGGACAUCCAAAAACUCUCUCACCUCCGUGCUACCACGUCGAGCUCAGGUCCUGCUAUAGAGCGUCGCCCACAGCUUGGGCUGCACAUGCUUCAUCAACUCGAGGCCAAUGCCAGGCUUCGAGAGGAGCAAGCCAUGAAAAUGCAGCAGGCUUUCAACAGCAAGAAUUCAUGGUUAAACAACAGGCAAUCCUGCAAGAGACAUUUGCUCAACUCAGAAAUAAUAUGCAGGGUUCCACUUUGCCCGUUCUUCCUCCUCUUCCGACUCUUCCUAAUUUCAACUUUUUUUCUCAGUCGGGAAAAGACUCCAAUAACUGUGUGGUAGGUGGAUCUUCACCUGGCCAAGCAAGUCCAGUGACACCCACUACGGUUCAUGUCGCUUCGACCUCCCCACAACAAUGAUCACUUGAGGUUUGCAUUGUGGAUGGCAUUGACGGUGGGCAUAUAUGCUGCGGUGGAGCUCAUUGCAUGGUUCAUGCUUGGUGUGAACUUGGAACUCAUGAUCCUUUAAUUUGUGAACCUCUGGUUGCAUAUGUAUGUAUGUUGUUGUGAACCUUCGUUGGAUAUGUAUGCACAACUUACGGUCCUUUCGUUUGUGAUCUUUUGUUGCAUACGUAUGCAUAUGUGGACUUUGCACUCAUGUACGGCUGGAUAUAUGUAUUAUUGGAUAUAUGUUUGUUGGUCAUGGUCAUGUACUGCUGGAUAUAUAUAUAUUUGUUGGAUA